Peromyscus maniculatus bairdii (prairie deer mouse) is the source of this 126-nucleotide small nucleolar RNA. The record is from Ensembl. Lineage: Eukaryota; Metazoa; Chordata; Mammalia; Rodentia; Cricetidae.
UUGCAUGUUUAAUUAAGGAAACUAAAGAAAUUUUAUACAUCCAGAACAUGCUACAUUACACGAGGAGUUCUCAGGGCUGUCAACCUUACAGUAGAGGUUGAGUGGUAGUAUAUUUCUCCUACACAA